RNAcentral lists this ribosomal RNA (466 nucleotides) under uncultured bacterium. RNAcentral's name for it is "bacterial SSU rRNA". It matches the Rfam family "Bacterial small subunit ribosomal RNA", at positions 329 to 792 of the family's 1533-position model. The record is from RNAcentral.
UUCCAGACUCCUACGGGAGGCAGCAGUGAGGAAUAUUGGUCAAUGGCCGAGAGCCUGAACCAGCCAAGUCGCGUGAGGGAAGACGGUCCUAUGGAUUGUAAACCUCUUUUGCCGGGGAGCAAAGGCGGGGACGUGUCCCGGCCCGGAGAGUACCUGAAGAAAAAGCAUCGGCUAACUCCGUGCCAGCAGCCGCGGUAAUACGGAGGAUGCGAGCGUUAUCCGGAUUUAUUGGGUUUAAAGGGUGCGUAGGCGGAAUGCCAAGUCAGCGGUAAAAUCGCGGGGCUCAACCUCGCUCCGCCGUUGAAACUGGCGUUCUUGAGUGGGCGAGAAGUAUGCGGAAUGCGUGGUGUAGCGGUGAAAUGCAUAGAUAUCACGCAGAACUCCGAUUGCGAAGGCAGCAUACCGGCGCCCAACUGACGCUGAAGCACGAAAGCGUGGGUAUCGAACAGGAUUAGAUACCCCAGUA